GAUCUGGGCAACUGCAGACCGAAAGCUUCCCAGGACCACGGACCUGUCAUGAAGAACAGCUGUUCUUUCAGCUUGAUCCCACGGGAAGAAUGAACAGGCUUAUCUACAGUGGUAAGAAGAACAUGAACAAGAAAAACCCUUUGUUGUUUAAGUUAUGGAAAUUUAGGGAGUGUUUAUUAUUCCAGCAUAACAUAGCCCAUUCUAACUCACAUCCUUUACCCAUCCAGAGCCUGGCCUGGAGAAGACACUCUACAAAUGCUUGCCAGUGAGUAAAUACAUGAAUCUGCCAAUAGAUCUUCCCUUUCUUCUCUGGAGUAUUAUCUUAUUAUCUGGUCCUGGAGAAUCACCUCCAAGCUUCUGAAGGACUUUAAGGAUCUCUUUCUCUGUGGUGUGAGCAAGAUCCAGGCCUGAGCUGAGAAGCUUGAAUUCUGUAUUGUACUCAUAACCUACUGAAAUACACUGAUCCAGAUUGCCUGAGUGGCUCAGUCA
Long non-coding RNA from Suricata suricatta (meerkat), 489 nucleotides. RefSeq lists it as uncharacterized. The transcript is spliced from 2 exons. The record is from RefSeq and is a predicted model, not a curated record. NCBI's taxonomy places the organism in Eukaryota, Metazoa, Chordata, Mammalia, Carnivora, Herpestidae.